Molecule: ribosomal RNA, 396 nt
Filed under: uncultured bacterium
Lineage: Bacteria
Description: partial 16S ribosomal RNA
Rfam family: Bacterial small subunit ribosomal RNA
Source: RNAcentral
AUACGUAGGUGGCAAGCGUUGUCCGGAUUUACUGGGUGUAAAGGGCGUGUAGGCGGAGAUGCAAGUCAGGAGUGAAAUCUAGGGGCUCAACCCCUAAACUGCUUUUGAAACUGUAUCCCUUGAGUAUCGGAGAGGCAGGCGGAAUUUCUAGUGUAGCGGUGAAAUGCGCAGAUAUUAGGAGGAACACCAGUGGCGAAUGCGACCUGCCAGACCACAACUGACGCUGAGGCGCCAAAGCGUGGGGAGCACACAGGAGUAUAUACCCCGGUAGCCCACGCUGUCAACGAUGAAUACUAGGUGUGGGGGGAGGUACCCCCUCCGUGCCGCAGUUAACACAAUAAGUGGACCCCCUGGGGAGUUCGAUCGCAAGAUUGAAACUCAAAGGAAUUGACGGGG